This 1169-nucleotide long non-coding RNA is filed under the name Oryzias javanicus (javanese ricefish). Its description in RNAcentral is "lncRNA (ENSOJAG00000019385.1)". Lineage: Eukaryota; Metazoa; Chordata; Actinopteri; Beloniformes; Adrianichthyidae. The record is from RNAcentral.
UCCAUCCUCUGACCCCAAAGAGCAAAUAAUAGGCAUGACAAACAUUCUGGCGGAGCUGAGACAUGGUAGAGGGACUAACUUCUCUUGACCAGACUCGGGUUGGGGGACCCAGAAAUCCUGCCACCUGAGAAUAAGUUCUCAGCCGGAAACCAGAAAAAGGCCUCAGCGGGACUAAAAGUGAUUCUAGGGACUAGAAUAUUUUCAGUUGGGGGGAGUGUCAGAGGAUGCUUCUGAAAGGGGUUGAUUGAGAACACCUGUGGGGAGGCGUGGCUACUGCAGUGAGAGGGCUUUUAUUUGUGACUAAAGGCCUUCACAAGAGUACAGAAAAAGGGAAGAAAAAGGGGGUGGAAGGGGACGGAGAGUCGGAGCGGAGGCGCUCAGACGCCGCAUGGCGGAGGACGAGAGGGCUGCCUCCCAGGGUGCGACGCACGGAGGACGAGAGGGCCGCCUGCCGGUGCUACGACGCACGGAGGACGAGAGGGCCGCCUCCCAGGGUGCGACGCACGGAGGACGAGAGGGCCGCCUGCCGGUGCUACGACGCCCGGAGGACGAGAGGGACCGCUGCCGACGCCCUGCUCAGAGGGAUCACCUGCCGACGCUGUAUAUUCGGAGCAGCUCCACCUGCUCGCUCCUGGUUCUCUUGGGCGCGGGAGGACUUCGGCGUCACCUCGUGAGAGCUAAGUUGACCCCACCAGCUGAUUAGUUUGUUUUGAACUGUAUCUUCUUUAAAGAGUUUGAUUUUGUUUUGCUUUGGGGUUCGUUACACUUAUUUUGCUUUGUUUUGCAUGCUUUAGUUGUUUAGAUGUUUUUCUUUGCUGGUGGGGUAGCAAGGUGGAGGGAGAGAACCUUGUGACCCAGAAGAGUGGAGUGGACUUCCUGAUUACGUCCAAAAAAAAAGAAAAAAUAACUCUUUUCUUCUUUCUUUUAGUUGGCGGUUUUAUGGACAGGAGCUUACGCCUAUUUUAUUGUUGUGGCUUUUUACAUGUUUUUAACACUUUUUAGCUUUUAUGGACAAUUAUAUUUUAUUAAACUAAGUCUUUGAAACGUGUCUCUGGCUUGCUGCAUUAUUGGGUGCCCAGACGUCUCCCCAGCGGAUCUCCAAAGUGACCCCCUCCCUUGCACCUACGUGACAAAGAUAUGAUUAGGAUUCUGUUUAAUGAGGUGCAUCA